Molecule: ribosomal RNA, 550 nt
Filed under: uncultured Funneliformis
Lineage: Eukaryota; Fungi; Glomeromycota; Glomeromycetes; Glomerales; Glomeraceae
Description: SSU rRNA
Rfam family: Eukaryotic small subunit ribosomal RNA
Source: RNAcentral
UUGGAGGGCAAGUCUGGUGCCAGCAGCCGCGGUAAUUCCAGCUCCAAUAGCGUAUAUUAAAGUUGUUGCAGUUAAAAAGCUCGUAGUUGAAUUUCGGGAUCAAUGUUUCGGUCAUGCCGUUGGUAUGUACUGAUAUUAUUGGUUUCUCACCUUCUAAAGAACCGUAAUGCCAUUAAUUUGGUGUCACGGGGAAUUAGGACUGUUGCCUUGAAAAAAUUAGAGUGUUUAAAGCAGGCUCACGCUUGAAUACAUUAGCAUGGAAUAAUGAAAUAGGACAUCCGAUUCUAUUUUGUUGGUUUCUAGGAUCGAUGUAAUGAUUAAUAGGGAUAGUUGGGGGCAUUAGUAUUCAAUUGUCAGAGGUGAAAUUCUUGGAUUUAUUGAAGACUAACUACUGCGAAAGCAUUUGCCAAGGAUGUUUUCAUUAAUCAAGAACGAAAGUUAGGGGAUCGAAGACGAUCAGAUACCGUCGUAGUCUUAACCAUAAACUAUGCCGACUAGGGAUCGGAUGAUGUUAAUUUUUUAAUGACUCAUUCGGCGCCUUACGGGAAAC